ACCGAUGGCGACUGGCGCACGGUGAGUAACACGUAUCCAACCUGCCGAUAACUCGGGGAUAGCCUUUCGAAAGAAAGAUUAAUACCCGAUGGCAUAAUAGAACCGCAUGGUUUGAUUAUUAAAGAAUUUCGGUUAUCGAUGGGGAUGCGUUCCAUUAGGCAGUUGGUGGGGUAACGGCCCACCAAACCUUCGAUGGAUAGGGGUUCUGAGAGGAAGGUCCCCCACAUUGGAACUGAGACACGGUCCAA
This 248-nucleotide ribosomal RNA is filed under the name uncultured bacterium. Its description in RNAcentral is "partial 16S ribosomal RNA". It matches the Rfam family "Bacterial small subunit ribosomal RNA", at positions 84 to 334 of the family's 1533-position model. The record is from RNAcentral.